RNAcentral lists this ribosomal RNA (262 nucleotides) under uncultured Streptococcaceae bacterium. Its description in RNAcentral is "partial 16S ribosomal RNA". It matches the Rfam family "Bacterial small subunit ribosomal RNA", at positions 524 to 786 of the family's 1533-position model. Lineage: Bacteria; Bacillati; Bacillota; Bacilli; Lactobacillales; Streptococcaceae. The record is from RNAcentral.
UACGUAGGUCCCGAGCGUUAUCCGGAUUUAUUGGGCGUAAAGCGAGCGCAGGCGGUUAGAUAAGUCUGAAGUUAAAGGCUGUGGCUUAACCAUAGUACGCUUUGGAAACUGUUUAACUUGAGUGCAGAAGGGGAGAGUGGAAUUCCAUGUGUAGCGGUGAAAUGCGUAGAUAUAUGGAGGAACACCGGUGGCGAAAGCGGCUCUCUGGUCUGUAACUGACGCUGAGGCUCGAAAGCGUGGGGAGCAAACAGGAUUAGAUACC